GCCCCGGUGGCGCAAUCGGUUAGCGCCCCGUACUUAUAGACAGUAUCUUAGGCGAUGCGGAGGUUGUGAGUUUGAUCCUCACCCGGGGCA
Molecule: non-coding RNA, 90 nt
Organism: Potamilus streckersoni
Lineage: Eukaryota; Metazoa; Mollusca; Bivalvia; Unionida; Unionidae
Source: the annotation of a GenBank genome assembly